This 305-nucleotide ribosomal RNA is filed under the name uncultured bacterium. RNAcentral describes it as "bacterial SSU rRNA". It matches the Rfam family "Bacterial small subunit ribosomal RNA", at positions 338 to 640 of the family's 1533-position model. The record is from RNAcentral.
UCUACGGGGGGCAGCAGUGAGGAAUAUUGGUCAAUGGGCGGAAGCCUGAACCAGCCAAGUCGCGUGAGGGAAUAAGGCCCUACGCGUCGUAAACCUCUUUUGCCGGGGAGCAAGGGCCGGGACGCGUCCCGGCCCGGAGAGUACCCGGAGAAAAAGCAUCGGCUAACUCCGUGCCAGCAGCCGCGGUAAUACGGAGGAUGCGAGCGUUAUCCGGAUUUAUUGGGUUUAAAGGGUGCGUAGGCGGGCUUUUAAGUCAGCGGUAAAAAUUCGGGGCUCAACCCCGUCCGGCCGUUUAAACUGGGGGC